UGCAGUCGACGGUAACAUGAGAGCUUGCUCUUGAUGACGAGUGGCGCACGGGUGCGUAACGCGUAUGCAACCUACCCUUUACUGGGGGAUAGCCAGGAGAAAUUCUGAUUAAUACCCCAUAGUACUGUAAUGUAGCAUUACAUAGCAGUUAAAGAUUUAUUGGUAAAGGAUGGGCAUGCGUGACAUUAGUUAGUUGGUAAGGUAACGGCUUACCAAGACGAUGAUGUCUAGGGGUUCUGAGAGGAGGGUCCCCCACACUGGUACUGAGACACGGACCAGACUCCUACGGGAGGCAGCAGUAGGGAAUAUUGGUCAAUGGACGCAAGUCUGAACCAGCCAUGCCGCGUGCAGGAUGACAGCUUUCUGAGUUGUAAACUGCUUUUAUAUAGGAACAAAGAGGCCAUGCGUGGCAAGUUGCGUGUACUAUAUGAAUAAGCACCGGCUAACUCCGUGCCAGCAGCCGCGGUAAUACGGAGGAUGCAAGCGUUGUCCGGAUUUAUUGGGUUUAAGGGUGCGUAGGUGGUUUUUUAAGUCAGUGGUGAAAGCCUACAGCUUAACUGUAGAGGUGCCAUUGAUACUGGAGAACUUGAGUAUGGACGAGGUAGGCGGAAUUUGUGGUGUAGCGGUGAAAUGCAUAGAUACCACAAAGAACACCGAUAGCGAAGGCAGCUUACUGGGCCAUAACUGACACUGAGGCACGAAAGCGUGGGGAGCGAACAGGAUUAGAUACCCUGGUAGUCCACGCCGUAA
RNAcentral lists this ribosomal RNA (750 nucleotides) under uncultured marine bacterium. Its description in RNAcentral is "bacterial SSU rRNA". It matches the Rfam family "Bacterial small subunit ribosomal RNA", at positions 56 to 805 of the family's 1533-position model. The record is from RNAcentral.